RNAcentral lists this ribosomal RNA (641 nucleotides) under uncultured cyanobacterium. RNAcentral's name for it is "bacterial SSU rRNA". It matches the Rfam family "Bacterial small subunit ribosomal RNA", at positions 678 to 1324 of the family's 1533-position model. Lineage: Bacteria; Bacillati; Cyanobacteriota. The record is from RNAcentral.
GCGGUGAAAUGCGUAGAGAUUGGGAAAACACCGGUGGCGAGCGCUCUGCUAGGCCGCAACUGACACUCAGGGACGAAAGCUAGGGGAGCGAAUGGGAUUAGAUACCCCAGUAGUCCUAGCCGUAAACGAUGGAUACUAGGCGUUGUGGGUAUCGACCCUCACAGUGUCGUAGCUAACGCGUUAAGUAUCCCGCCUGGGGAGUACGCGCGCAAGCGUGAAACUCAAAGGAAUUGACGGGGGCCCGCACAAGCGGUGGAGUAUGUGGUUUAAUUCGAUGCAACGCGAAGAACCUUACCAGGACUUGACAUGUCGCGAAUCUCAGGGAACUGAGAGGCUUGGGAGCCGACACAGUGGUGCAUGGCUGUCGUCAGCUCGUGUCGUGAGAUGCUUGGGUUAAGUCCCGCAACGAGCGCAACCCUCGUUUGUUAGUUGCCAGCAUGUAAGCUUGGGCACUGCUAGAGAGACUGCCGGUGACAAAUCCGGAGGAAGGUGGGGAUGACGUCAAGUCAGCAUGCCCCUUACGUUCUGGGCUACACACGUACUACAAUGCUACGGACAAAGGGCAGCAAGUUAGCGAUGACAAGCAAAUCCCAUAAACCGUGGCUCAGUUCAGAUUGCAGGCUGCAACUCGCCUGCAUGAA